RNAcentral lists this antisense RNA (187 nucleotides) under Trithuria submersa. RNAcentral's name for it is "Antisense RNA which regulates isiA expression". It matches the Rfam family "Antisense RNA which regulates isiA expression". The record is from Rfam by way of RNAcentral. Lineage: Eukaryota; Viridiplantae; Streptophyta; Magnoliopsida; Nymphaeales; Hydatellaceae.
AAUAACCAAAUAACCUACUUGGGUUAAGGGUCAAGUUGGUAAUUCUUCUUACAUCUCCACCCCCGGGUGCCCAGGUAUCAUAUACGCCCCCAAAAUAAAGAGCUUUGAGGACCAGGAGAAAGGCUCCUAUACCUAAGAGGAUCAAGUGAAUACCCAAAAUUGUGGUCAUUUUAUUUCUAUCUUUCCA